UUGACUAUGUCUUUUGUUUCCAGGUCUGCAGAUUAUUUACCGCAAUCAACCCUCUAUGCUUAGCUUAUGAAACUUAUUCCUUUACGAUCAUGAUAUUCUCAUCUUAUUUUAAUGAAAUGGAAGCUUUUUGCCUAUGGAACAUAGUUGAGAUGCAUAUUUAUGUGGAAAUUGAGCUGGAUUGUUUGACUUUUCUGCUUUUUCUAACGGUGUAUAAGAAAGAAGCUUAUCAGGAUCACAAAAUAUGAUAAGCAUCUUACAUGUUCUAUUAUGUAUCAUUUAUGUAAAAUUGAAGCAUGAUUGUCAUAGUUUUUCGGUAAUACUUUGUUGUUGUGGUCACUAAAGAAUUUCAAGAUCUACGAUAGAUCAUUUUUUUUAAUUCAUCUCAUAAUUAAUUAUUCAUUUGGCUUAUAGUUUACUUUGAAUUGAAUGCUUUUAUCAUUUCAAGUAAAUAACUUUUUGUUGCAUUGUGCUGGAAGCAUAGUUAUUAAAGGCGCAAGGCGCGCUAAGGCACCAAGGGGUCCUGGAGCCUAGGCGAAGGCGCACGCCUAAGCGAGAUGAGGCGCAAAAAAAUA
Molecule: unclassified non-coding RNA, 572 nt
Filed under: Hevea brasiliensis (rubber tree)
Lineage: Eukaryota; Viridiplantae; Streptophyta; Magnoliopsida; Malpighiales; Euphorbiaceae
Source: RNAcentral